GCCGACCUUGAAAUACCACCCUUUAAUGUUUGAUGUUCUAACGUUGACCCGUAAUCCGGGUUGCGGACAGUGUCUGGUGGGUAGUUUGACUGGGGCGGUCUCCUCCUAAAGAGUAACGGAGGAGCACGAAGGUUGGCUAAUCCUGGUCGGACAUCAGGAGGUUAGUGCAAUGGCAUAAGCCAGCUUGACUGCGAGCGUGACGGCGCGAGCAGGUGCGAAAGCAGGUCAUAGUGAUCCGGUGGUUCUGAAUGGAAGGGCCAUCGCUCAACGGAUAAAAGGUACUCCGGGGAUAACAGGCUGAUACCGCCCAAGAGUUCAUAUCGACGGCGGUGUUUGGCACCUCGAUGUCGGCUCAUCACAUCCUGGGGCUGAAGUAGGUCCCAAGGGUAUGGCUGUUCGCCAUUUAAAGUGGUACGCGAGCUGGGUUUAGAACGUCGUGAGACAGUUCGGUCCCUAUCUGCCGUGGGCGCUGGAGAACUGAGGGGGGCUGCUCCUAGUACGAGAGGACCGGAGUGGACGCAUCACUGGUGUUCGGGUUGUCAUGCCAAUGGCACUGCCCGGUAGCUAAAUGCGGAAGAGAUAAGUGCUGAAAGCAUCUAAGCACGAAACUUGCC
Molecule: ribosomal RNA, 614 nt
Filed under: Escherichia coli
Lineage: Bacteria; Pseudomonadati; Pseudomonadota; Gammaproteobacteria; Enterobacterales; Enterobacteriaceae
Description: partial 23S ribosomal RNA
Rfam family: Bacterial large subunit ribosomal RNA
Source: RNAcentral